Molecule: long non-coding RNA, 953 nt
Organism: Dendrobium catenatum
Lineage: Eukaryota; Viridiplantae; Streptophyta; Magnoliopsida; Asparagales; Orchidaceae
Exons: 2
Source: RefSeq, a predicted model, not a curated record
CGGGUUGCGCUGGAAUCGCCGUCGGCUGGGCUGGAACCGCCGCCUGCUGGAAGAUCUUUCGGCGGUGGAUUUCGCUGAGGAGCCGUUUCUCGCCUCUCUUGAACGAAUCGUUCGCGAACUCCCAUCGAUCCGCUUCCCACGCACCAGCUGAAGUGGGGGAAUAUACAUAGGGUCUUCUGUGGUUGUUGACUUCGUGAGGAAUUGAGGCGAUGAGUUUGAAACAAGACCAUAGAGUAGCUGAACUGAGUCAGGGAUCCGGUCGGUGAAAUUGUUGCGCGAGAAAUCGGCAACGAUUAGGCUUUCCAAGUUAGCGAUUUCCCCUGGGAUACUGUAGCUGAUCUGAGUCGAGGAAGUUGUGACAAGUGCCGCACUUGUGAUGCUUUGUAGUAGUGCAGAAAGGGUUGGAGGCAGAGAGCUAGACGAAGAGGCUCGUAGAGAUUGAAUUGCUUUUGGGUUUUCUUUACAACCUAGUGGCAGUGGCUCUACUAUAUCAUUGAAAGCAGAUUCCUGUACUUCCUCAGUAUCAGAGGAAUGCUCUAGCUCAACAGAAAUGGCUGGCGAGAUUGUUGGUUUGCACUCUUCAAUAUCAACAUUUCUGGAGCUUGCUGGACAAUGUGGAUGCACAAGUUCUUCCUCAUUCAUAGAAAUUAGUACUCUUCACUUUGGCAGUUAAUCUUUCAGACUGAAUAAUGGAUGAAACAAUCUCCAUUGAACGUUUUGGUGGCAACUAAGCAAGGAAGUAGGUUUCAUUGUCCUCCAUUGAAUCAUGCAAAGGAUCUUUAACAACUGUCAAAAUAGUGCUUUCUGCUGGUUCUUGUGGAAGUUCUGAAGGAGGGAUGCGGACUGGGAGCGGGAGAGUAUGGUUCUGAAUUUGAAGAUUUUGUCAUUUAUGGGAUUUAAGGCAUUUUAGAGAAAUUUGAGUUAAUUUUUUUAAUAAAUUUAUUUCCAAAAGA